This 753-nucleotide ribosomal RNA is filed under the name uncultured eukaryote. RNAcentral describes it as "SSU rRNA". It matches the Rfam family "Eukaryotic small subunit ribosomal RNA", at positions 444 to 1201 of the family's 1831-position model. The record is from RNAcentral.
CUCAAUCGUGACACAGGGAGGUAGUGACAAAAAAUAACAAUACCGGGCUUUUUCAAGUCUGAUAAUUGGAAUGAGUACAAUUUAAAUCCCUUAACGAGGAUCCACUGGAGGGCAAGUCUGGUGCCAGCAGCCGCGGUAAUUCCAGCUCCAGUAGCGUAUAUUAAAGUUGUUGCAGUUAAAAAGCUCGUAGUUGGAUUUCUGGUACGCUGCGCCUGGCCCGCCUUCGGGUGAGUGCUGGUGCGCGGUUGCCAUCCUUCUAGAGAACACGUCUACCCUUCAUUGGCCGGACGUGGAAUCUAGAUCUUUUACUUUGAAAAAAUUAGAGUGUUUAAAGCAGGCUUAUGCUAUGAAUACAUUAGCAUGGAAUAAUAAUAUAGGACUUUGGUUCUAUUUUGCUGGUUUCUAGGACUAAAGUAAUGAUUGAUAGGGAUAGUUGGGGGUGCUCCUAUUCGCUGGCCAGAGGUGAAAUUCUUGGAUUCAGUGAAGAGGAACUUAUGCGAAAGCAUUCACCAAGGAUGUCUUCUUUAAUCAAGAACGAAAGUUGGGGGAUCGAAGACGAUCAGAUACCGUCGUAGUCUCAACCAUAAACUAUGCCGACUAGGGAUGAGUGAUCGUUGCAUUUUCGACUUCAUUCGCACCUUAUGAGAAAUCAAAGUCUUUGGGUUCCGGGGGGAGUAUGGUCGCAAGGCUGAAACUUAAAGGAAUUGACGGAAGGGCACCACCAGGUGUGGAGCCUGCGGCUUAAUUUGACUA